GUAACUCUGCCCAAAGGCAUGACGUUUAUCUUAGAGAAUGCAAUAUUCUCCUCCAAGUAUAGGAAGAACUUGUUGAGUUUUAAUGAUAUCAAUCGCAAUGUUCUCCUCCAAGUCUAAAAGAAGAACUUGUUGAGUUUUAAUGAUAUUAAUUGCAAUGUUCUCCUCCAAGUCUAAAAGGAACUUGUUGAGUUUUAAAGAUAUCAUUCAA
Molecule: long non-coding RNA, 208 nt
Filed under: Nicotiana benthamiana
Lineage: Eukaryota; Viridiplantae; Streptophyta; Magnoliopsida; Solanales; Solanaceae
Description: long non-coding RNA (NBEN_LNC000249)
Source: RNAcentral